AUAAUCUGUGAACUUUGUUUUUUCAGUUCAAGACCGUUAAUUAAAUCCAGUAACAGACCCGUACUGUGUUAUUGCUCGGUGCAUUUUUUUUAAUUAAACCAAUUAAUUCGAAUAUUAAAAAUAGCAGCGGCAACAUAACGACUACGAAUACGAGCAGUAGAAUGUGCAUAAUUUAUAAGUUAUUUGUAGUGUUCAUAAAAGUUAUCGCGAUUAUAUGUGCAUACAUUCAUUGAAACACAUCAGCCUUUAACUUCUCGAUUUGGAGCUAAAUGCCUGCCUAUUGUCUCACAGUGCAAACAUCUGCCUGCUGGUUCGUUCUGGAGUUGACAGCGGUCAGUUUGCCACGUAGUAUUGACUUCCUGAUGGAGGAUGAAAGCCGCAACCGGGACGGGAGCUUGAGGGAUCGGCGGCGCGCGGCUGCGUGCCCAAGUAUGAACUUCGUCUGAAACUCACCUUCUGAAGCACUGUGCACUUUUCUUAAGAGUUUAACAGCACCCUCCGUCUAAAGAUUAGUGUAAAUAUCCAAGGAAAGCGUGAACAUUCAGCUUAAGGCAAGCACGGGCAUUUCAUACAGUAGGAAUCAUGAUUCUUGUUAGUAACUUUUGGGUCUGGAACAAGCCUUAAACACAAAUGCACAUAAAAAUGGGUCGCUCUGUUCUGAUCUUCACCUCCGUGGUAUCCACGCUUGGCGGCUUUGUAUUUGGGUAUGAGCUGGCAAUUAUCUCUGGAGCCCUUCUUCAACUUCAGACACAGUUCCACCUCAACUGUUUCCAGCAGGAGGCGGUAGUGAGCUCUCUUCUUAUCGGGGCACUUCUGGCCUCUAUGAUCGGGGGGGUCUUGAUCGACCGGCAUAGCCGGAGGAACCCCAUAACGCUCAGCAACCUGCUCAUCCUCGGCGGGAGCAUCGUCCUGGUCGCCAGUUGCUCUGUCUCCGCCCUGGUGGUGGGCAGAAUCACCGUGGGCUUUGCCAUAUCCUUAUCCUCCAUGUCCUGCUGCAUUUUUGUGUCUGAGAUGGUGAAUCCGGAGCGCAGGGGCCUCUUAGUCAGCCUCUAUGAAGCUGGCAUUACAGUUGGCAUCCUGGUUGCCUAUGCCAUGAACUACAUGUUAUCCAGUGUUCCGGAAGGAUGGAAAUACAUGUUUGGUUUUCCCAUCGCUCCAUCACUGGUUCAGUUCAUCUCCAUUUGGUUCCUCCCAUCCAACCCUGGAAUGCCUUUGGAAGAGACCUCAGAGGCCCAAGCUCAGAUUGGGCUUAUGCAGCUGGCCAGUGCUGAGGAGACUGAGGCUGACGGGAAUAACACAGACUGUUCGGACAAACGACAAAAUGCACUUGUGGCUCUGUUUCAGAGUAAAGACAACAUGCGGAUGAGGACGUUCAUUGGUCUGGGCCUCGUGCUUUUCCAGCAGUUCACCGGCCAGCCCAACGUGCUCUUCUAUGCCUCCACGAUCUUUCAUUCAGUGGGAUUUAAGUCCGGUGCCUCUGCUGUGCUAGCUUCAGUGGGGGUGGGCGUCACGAAGGUCAUUGCUACCUUGGUGUCCAUGAUCUAUGCCGACAGAGCAGGCCGGAGAGUGUUGCUGAUUGGAGGAUGCACCGUGAUGACGGUCUCUCUGGUUAUCAUUGGUCUUCUUAGCAACCAAACGCUACACAAUGAGAGGGGGAGUUACUGUGACACUAACAGGUUCCAAAACGGAAGCUCCCAGUUACAGGAUCCCACAGAUGGGAACUUAACACCUCUCCCACUGGUUAUUCUGAACCGGACCCUCGAAAGUUAUAAAGAUGUGAAGGCUGCAGAAGAUGCUGGUUUGUGGCAUUUGGAUACUUCUAGUUUCAAAGGUUUGCAUUUGAACCCAGCACCACACAGCUCUGCUUCAUCCCCAGUACCAGACAGGACCACAGAUCAAGGGGUCAUGGACUGGAUCAUCUUAAUCAGCAUGAUGGCUUACGUCAGUGCCUAUUCAAUAGGAUUUGGGCCGAUGACUUGGCUUGUACUCAGCGAGAUCUUCCCUGUUUGGCUGAGGGGAAGAGCUUUUGCCUUGGCGAGCUGCUUUAACUGGGCUGCUAACCUGAUUGUUACUUUCACCUUCUUAAGCCUGAUCGAUCUUGUAGGUCUGUCCUGGACUUUCCUUCUCUAUGGCAUGAUUGGAGUAGUUGCUGUUGUGUUCAUUUACAUCAUGUUACCUGAGACCAAAGGAAAAUCCCUUCAAGAAAUCGACAAGGAGCUGUCCGGGAACAGGUUUCACCAUGGAGGAGAAUGCUGUAACGUGAUGAAAAUAAGAGUUUCGUCAGUGGGCUAUGAAAGAGUGACUACAACCAGCAUGUCUGUGUUGUACGCAACAGUUCCAUAGACCUACCCUGGUUAAUGUUCUGUUUUAGGUCCUGCUGCAUGGCAUCUUCUCAAGGUUUACUUAAAAACUCAAAUUCACAGAAGCAAGGGAACGCCGGUGGGGAAGGGAGGAGCCGACAUUCCCAGGCUGCUUCGACAAACGACCCAAUUGGAAAAGAAGUUU
Paramormyrops kingsleyae is the source of this 2505-nucleotide RNA transcript. It is a transcript of the gene named solute carrier family 2 member 10, with no coding region annotated. NCBI's taxonomy places the organism in Eukaryota, Metazoa, Chordata, Actinopteri, Osteoglossiformes, Mormyridae. The record is from RefSeq and is a predicted model, not a curated record.